RNAcentral lists this ribosomal RNA (114 nucleotides) under uncultured bacterium. RNAcentral describes it as "partial 16S ribosomal RNA". It matches the Rfam family "Bacterial small subunit ribosomal RNA", at positions 1369 to 1482 of the family's 1533-position model. The record is from RNAcentral.
CGUUCCCGGGCUUGUACACACCGCCCGUNAAGUCAUGAAAGUCGGUAACACCCGAAGCCGGUGGCCCAACCCUUGUGGAGGGAGCCGUCGAAGGUGGGACUGGCGAUUAGGACU